UUGAUUAAAUAGGCAUUAGGACACCUUUUCAAAAAGGCUUUUCUGUGGUGUUCAGAAGCAUUUCUAGAAAUUGAAACCUCAGACUUUCCAAGAUGUACCUCAGUGCUGCAUAUCACCGCAUACCUCUAAGUGAUGGAAACAGCAUUCCUAUCAUCGGUCUUGGUACCUACUCAGAACCUAGAUUGACCCCUAAGGGGACCUGUGCAAGAUCAGUGAAAAUUGCCAUUGACACGGGGUACCGGCACGUUGAUGGCGCCUACCUCUACCAGAACGAGCACGAAGUGGGGGAGGCCAUCAGGGAGAAGAUAGCAGAAGGAAAGGUGCAGAGGCAGGAUAUCUUCUACUGCGGAAAGCUGUGGGCUACACAUCAUGACCCACAGAUGGUCCGCCCAACUCUGGAGAGGACGCUCAGGGGCCUCCAGCUAGAUUAUGUGGAUCUUUACAUCAUUGAAAUACCCAUGGCUUUCAAGCCUGGAGAUGAAUUCUAUCCUAAAGAUGAAAAUGGCAAAUGGUUAUAUCACAAGUCAAAUCUGUGUGCCACUUGGGAGGCUUUAGAAGCUUGCAAAGAUGCUGGCUUGGUGAAAUCCCUCGGUGUAUCCAAUUUUAACCGUAGGCAGCUGGAGCUUAUUCUGAACAAACCAGGACUUAAGCAUAAGCCAGUCAGCAACCAGGUUGAAUGCCAUCCAUAUUUCACCCAGCCAAAACUCUUGAAAUUUUGCCAACAACAUGACAUUGUCAUUAUUGCAUACAGCCCUUUGGGGACCUCUAGGAAUCCAUCCUGGGUGAAUGUGUCUUCCCCACCUUUGUUAAAGGAUGCACUUCUAAACUCACUGGGGAAAAAAUACAAUAAGACAGCAGCUCAAGUUGUUUUGCGUUUCAACAUCCAGCGAGGAGUGGUUGUCAUUCCUAAAAGCUUUAACCCUGAAAGGAUCAAAGAAAACUUUCAAAUCUUUGACUUUUCUCUCACUGAAGAAGAAAUGAAGGGCAUUGAAGACCUGAAUAAAAAUGUCCGCUUCGUGGAAAUGCUCAUGUGGUGUGACCAUCCUGAAUACCCAUUUCAUGAUGAAUACUGACUUCAGAGAGCUCCGCAACAGAUAUUUUCCCUCUAUGUGUGCCAGGACUUUGGGCUGGGUGGUUCCUCCAGCUAUGGAAAUCAAAGGAGUUUACUAUCCUCAGAUGAAAUGGUGAUGGAGACACACUUAACUUUUGUGUAGUGUAAGUGACUUUGACUUAGCUAUGUGGGGGGAAAAAAUAGGUUUAAAUCUGUUGAAAUAACUUGGAAAUUAUCAGCUAAUAUUUUAUUAAAUCAAUGUCUUCUGGGUUUCAGAAAGAAAAAUAUUAGGCUUUAGAAAAGACUUCAAAGGCAACAUAUGAAGAUAAAUAACACAUGAAUUCGGAUACUGCUGCCAUGGGUAGUCUGAGUUCUUUAGCAGUUAACAGGGCAACAGCAAGGAUGGAGAGCUGGACCAUGCCAGUGUGCUGGCAGUGGUCUUGAUGGUUUGGACCAUUGACUGUAAUACAGACACAGCCAAGAGGCCUCUAAUGGAAUAUGGAGUAAGAUACAUCAAUAGUUACAUAACCUGCCUGGAAAAGGAGAGGAGGCCAACAGCGUACCCACUGAUCCAUAAAAACACAUGGACCAGAAGAGCAAGGACUUUCUGCCCCAGCCCGCAGAAUGUUUUUUGUUUGCCCAUCACUGACUAUUCUCCUUGGAAGACCUCCCUCAGGCACUGUCUUCCAUAAUGACACAGAGGUUAUUGGAAGAGGCCACAAGAGGCACAUAGGCACCAAUCCCAAGUCUGCAGGCUUCAACACUGCGACGUGCUGCACACUUCAUGACCACAGUUAUGGAAAUGUAAAAGGUUGAGGUAAAUUAUAUUUCCCAGGCUUGGUAUUUCUCUGGAACUCCCUUAAAAUUUCAAGCUUUCACUGGUGACUUCAAUUUCUGACCAUUCCAAACUAGUAACUAAAUCAUGAUAUCUUGUGGAGCCCUGGUCCUUGCAUGUGAACCCUCCCGGAAUCUGAACUGUACCCACCAUGUUUCUACCUCCAGAUACCAAAUCCUCAAGUUCUCACUUCUCUUGAUGGGGGCAAGGGGUGAGGAGGGAUAGGAUAAUCUCCUCUGGGCACUGGUAUUUUAGCUAGAUUGAGAGCUGAGAUGCAGAAUAUGGUGGGAGGUAUGGUGGGAGUAGCAGUGGUCUUGACAAAAGUACAUGGACUUUUCAGGUCCCCCCCUUAAAUCUGGCCAUUGGUAAAUCUUCCUACAAAGACUAUGUAGCAUCCUUAGGAGCAUGAGGGCCCCUUUAAUUCUGUCUUGGGGGUUGUCAGGAAGAGAUAAAAUUGCCAAAGGACAAUUUGGAGCUGGGUAGCCCUCACUUUAUGUCCUGCUGAAGUUGGUCACAUGUUGGUCAGAGAGGAGCAGCUAGUGGAAAUGAUUGAACAUAUGUUUUUAAACUGUGUUGUGUGUGUGUGUUGCUAUUUGAUAUGUACUAUUGAGCAUUUUUUAUUGACAUUCGUAUAUAAGACUAUUGUGUAGUUUUGUGUAUACUCUUUAGUUUCUAUUAUCAAAUUGUGCUCCUUUCAUUGUUAAAAGGAGAGAGUGAGAUUUUCUUUCACACUCUCCACUCUAGAACAAAUUAAAUUUAAACGAUUUAUUUCCUAAAGUAUUGGUGGAAUUCACCUGAGAAUUGCCUCUCUGUCAAUAGAGAGCCUGUACAUUUUCUAUUUCAUCUCAAAUCAAUUUUGCAAAUUUAUCUUCUUCUAUAAUUUAUCAAUGUCACGUAUUUAGCAUAUGGAGGUAUAUUUGUUCAUUUAGUCAACAAGAUUUUUGUGUGCCACUGUGGUAGGCUCUAUCCUCGGCAGUUGGGAUAUUCCAGUAAACAAAAGUCCCUGAGCUCUCAUACACGCCCGUACUCUUCCAAUUCCUUUAAUUUUCCUAAACAUGUGGUCACCUCCCUCUUGCAAUUCUUCUUUUGUUUGUCUAUGGUCUUGUUUUGUAAUUAAUGGUUUAUCAAGUUAUUUUUUAUUUUUUCUGGAUUUCAUUUAGACCAAAUUUCCCAAAGGAAAGAAAAUUCAUUGACUACUUCUGUCUUUCUGUUUCUUAAUUCAUUCAUAUCUCAUUUUCUUUUACUUAUCUCUUGUCUUUUUUAUAACUCAUCCAUAGACUUCUAACUUCUUAGGUUGAAUAUUUAUUUCAUUGAUUUUUGUUGGUUUUUCUUGUAUAGUAAUAUAAACAUUGAAUAUAAUGAAUUGUCCAUUGAGUACUGUUUUAGUUAAGAUUUCUUAAGUCGAUUUUGUAAUUUUACAGAUAUUCUGAGUUUGGGGUUUGCUUUCUUCUUUAAUCGUUGUUUACAAGAGUUCCUGUCUUACUUUAAUUUCUAGUGUUAGAGCUUUUUUUCUAGCUUUUAUAUUCUACUUUUAAUCAUGCUGAGCUCAGAUAUCAUCAGUCAAUGUUUUCAACAUUUCAUGGAAUUGUGACAAGAUACAUUCUGUUUUAAAGUAUUGAGUUGGAUAUAACGGACAUAUAAUCCUGUGUUAUACAUUUUUAUCAUCUAGUAUUAGAAGAGCUAUUUGAGUGAGUGGUUCUUUCUUUUAAACAGUGAUUCUUAACUAGGUGUUAAGAGAUUCGGCAAUGUCUGGAGACAUUUUUGAUUGUUACAACUGGUGGGGGUGGGGAGAGGUAAUAUUGGCAUUUAGUAGGAAGAGGCCAGGGAUGCUGCUAAACAUCCUACGAUGCACAGAACAGCUCCCACAGCAAAGAAUUAUCUGGGCCAAAAUGUAAUUUUUGCUGAGAUUGAGAAACCCUGCUAUCAGAAGAGUCUUUCUUGACAGAUGUUAAAAUGUGCUGAUUCCUAAUGCCAUAAUUUCAAUUUAUUGCAUAUAACUGAAAACUAAUCCAUUUAGCCUUGUUUAUAGUGCUUGAAGUAAACUGUCCACCUUUUACAUGGACAGUUUGAACAAACUGUCCAGCUAUGUUUUUUUCUUGUGUAUUUUAUCUUUUCUCAGAUUAUUAAACUGCUAAUGUAUGCCAUGCUUUUAGUAUUUGAGUUUAAAACACAUGGGCAAGCGAGCCCCAAUGAAAAUAAGUUAAUGCAGGAAACCAGGCUUUCCUGGUGACUCAGUGGUUAAGAAUCCACCUGCCAAUGCAGGGGACACCGGUUCGAGCCCUGGUCCGGGAAGAUCCCACAUGCCGCAGAACAACUAAGCCUGUGCACCACAACUACUGAGCCUACACUCUAGAGCCUGUGAGCCACAACUACUAAAGCCUGCAUGCCUAGAGCCUGCACUCUGCAACAAGAGAAGCCACUGCAAUGAGAAGCCCGCGCACCGCAGGAAAGAGUAGCCCCCGCUCGCCGCAAAUAAGGAAAGCCCGUGCACAGCAAAGAAGACCCAACGCAGCCAAAUAUAAAUAAAUAAAUUUAAAAAAAAAUAAUUUCUUCAGUAUGAGUCAAGAGAAAAAUUGCUCUAAUAACAGACCACCAUUGAAAAUAGAAGCAAUCUGAAAGAUUAGAUUAAGCUGGUAACCUACUUUCCUUCUUGUCCCAAAUUUCUUUCUUUUUUUAUUUAUUUAUUUAUGACUGCCUUGGGUCUUCCUUGCUACACGCGGGCUUUCUCUAGUUGCAGCGAGCGGGGGCUACUCUUCAUUGCGGUGCGCGGGCUUCUCAUUGCAGUGGCUUCUCGUUGCGCAGCACAGGCUCCAGGCACGUGGGCUUCAGUAGUUGUGGCACAUGGGCUCCAUAGUUGUGGCUCACGGGCUCUAGAGCGCAGUCUCAGUAGUUGUGGCGCACAGGUUUAGCUGCUGUGUGGCAUGUGGGAUCUUCCCGGACCAGGGCUCAAACCCGUGUCGCCUGCACUGGCAGGCAGAUUCUUAACCACUGUUCCACCAGGGAAGUCCCCCCAAAUUUCUUGAAAUAACUAAGCAGAGAGCCAAUUAAAUAGACUAAGUCUAUAGCACCUCUCUAAAAUAAAGAAAGGGUACCAUCACUGAACCCCAAAUCCUUAAGAUAAGAAAGCCGAGGUAAUUGGAUUGACAAAGAAGUAAGAGUAGACAACAGUAGCCUAACGUACUUGCCGGAAACAACUGCUACAAAGGUAAUAGCAAUUUUAGACAUGCUUCAAGUUUAGAAUAAAACAAUAAUAGUAGAAGUUCCUAUGACCUCACAUCUGACAGGACUAUCCCCUCCAUACAAACAGUUCUGAGGGGCUCCCAAAAGCCAUGUUUGUUUGUUUAAUUUAUUUAUUUAUUUAUUUUUGGCUGUGUUGGGUCCUCGUUGCUGUGCCCGGGCUUUCUCUGGCUGUCAUGAGCAGGGGCUACUCUUCGUUGCAGUGCACAGGCUUCUCAUUGUCGUGGCUUCUCUAGUUGCAGAGCACGGGCUCUAGGUGCGCAGGCUUCAGUAGUUGUGGCACAUGGGCUCAGUAGUUGUGGCUUGUGGGCUAUAGAGCUCAGGCUCAGUAGUUGUGGCGCACCGGCUUAGUUGCUCCGUGGCAUGUGGAAUCUUCCCGGGCCAGGGCUUGAACCUGUGUCCCCUGCAUUGGCAGGCGGAUUCUUAACCACUGCACCACCAGCGGAACCGGCCAUGUUUGUUCUUCAGGCUGAAAGCUAUUUCUUUCUAAUCAAAGUGAAUACUGUUCCAGAAGAGAGCAGGUAACUCAAUAUUGAGACUGGAGAAACAGAUCACAACCUGGGAAACUUCAAAAAAACACACAAAAGGUAGGAUUAAAAAAAGAAAAGAGCAAAGCUGAUUUUGGCAUUUACUUCCAGGAUAAAGCUAUGGAGUGGGGGAGGCAGAGAAGAAGUGACAAUGGCGGGAGGAUUAAAGGCUACCCGUGGCCAUGUGAGAACCAGCGUAUAUAACUGAAGCAGAACAGAUUUUACUACCUCAAAAUACUCCACAUGGGCUUAAGAAUUAUUUUGUGCUGAAGACAAUUGAGAAGAAACAGAUAGAAGAAAUCUCUGUCUUCCCCCGAUUUGCCUAAAAGGAGGAAAUAAACUUACAAAGUGUCCCUCCUCCCUCUCUACCAGGAAGGACAAAAGUUGAACUGCUAGAGACAACUUUAGAUCCUUACCAGUCUGGAGAUGGCACCAGAGGAAUUUAUAUAACAAACUUUGCUAACUAGACCUUAUCUUCUGUUAGUCUCCCAUAUAUUUGUCCUCCCAUGAUUUGCUGCCCCUAGACUCAAAGUCCUUUUCUUUUGUCUUGUCACUUCUCAAAAAAUGUAUUGCUCUUUUGUUAAGAAGUUAUGUAAGACCUAGUUCUAACCAAGCCUUUGAGUUACUCAUCUCUGGGAACUCCCAUGUGUAACAUGCAUGAAUACAUAUGUCUGUAAACUUCUGUUUGUUUUUCUCUUGUUAAUCUGUCUUUUGUCAGUCCAAUCUACAGGGCUCCAGCUGGAGAACCUAAGAUGGGUAGAGGAAGAGAUUCGUCCUCACCUAUAAGACUAUGUCAGGUAGAAGCUCGUAGUUUCCUUUUAAUAAGGGAGGCAAAGAAGCCAAUGACAUGAGCAAUCAUCAUGGAAGCCAUAAGACCGGUUGUCUCCUCUUGCCAACUCCACCUGCCUUCUGGGCACGAAGCCUCUGAAAGAAAAGUUAAACUCUAAGGUGAACUAUGGAAAACUGAGGAACAAGAGCAGAACACAGUUUACACCAGCCAACUCCAAAGAAGACAGCAACAGGGCUUUGCCUAAAACGGCCUUGAGCAAUUGGUAGUCUAGGAGGCAGAACCAUAUAGCUACGAGGCUCCAAAUGCACUGUUGAUAUUCAAAAUUCCAGAAGCAUUCUUCAAAGGUGUGUGGCAUGAAAAGGACGGCCCAUAUACACAGGUGUCAUCAGUCACAGCUGCACCUAUUAGCACCAUCAAUUUCCACCUCCAUUCCCAGGCUUUUUAAACUGGAAACUGUAUUUUGACCAGGUGGUAGACCCUGCCAGGAAUGCCUCACACGUAUUUCCUUUGGGGUAAGCCCCUAAACACAGGUUUUUAACUGAGUAAUGUUAAAGAACAGCUCUGGGCUAAUACCUAAGGAUGUUGCACGUAUCCACACAGGCACUUAGGCAAAGCUUGAUCUGCAGCUGAUCUGAGUCUUGGCCGAACAUCCUGGGUCCUCUGAAAACAAGAGUGUGCUGGAGGCGUGUGAGGAGCUGCUACCAGGCCGUUUCUCACUCAGUGCCCUAUCUGCCAAGAAGGAGGCCACAGUGAGGCAGUUUCUCAUCUUCUGCCAGGUUUUGAUGAGGCCUGAGACCUCUGACUCACCCCUUGGGGUCCAGCUGCAGACUAUAAAGUACCUUAGCAGCAACAUAGCAGUGGCCCUUCAGCAACAGGAUAGACCAUCAUUCAUGUUGCAAUCAUCUGGACCCUUUUGUUUUGGUGUUGCCCUACUCCAGAGACUAAAGGAAGGAGAUUGCCAUCAUCAUAGGGACAUAGAAACUGGACAACAACAACAAAAAAAAAACAGCGAGAUUAUGCUACUAUAGAAAAAAAUUAUAAAACUACUUAGAUUCCAAUAAUGAUUCUCCCUCAAGGGUCCUGCUGGUACGUAAUUAUAUCUUUGUUUCUUUAACUGAUCAAUAUUCCUAAUAGUGACGCCAUUUCCAUAUUAGAGUCUCCUGCUUUGUCACCGUUGCAAGUCUAGCUUGCACAAGAGUUGGUAAAAUUUCCCAUAUUAUAAUUUUUUUUUUUUUUUUUGCGGUACACAGGCCUCUCACUGUUGUGGCCUCUCCCGUUGCGGAGCACAGGCUCCGGACACGCAGGCUCAGCAGCCAUGGCUCACGGGCCCAGCCGCUCCGCGGCAUGUGGGAUCCUCCCGGACCGGGGCACGAACCCGUGUCCCCUGCAUCGGCAGGCGGACUCUCAACCACUGCGCCACCAGGGAAGCUCUCCCAUUUUGACCAAAAAUAUGUCUUAUCUACCUCCAGGAAGAAUUAAUAAACCAGAUUAUAAGAGUUAUUAAAAUUUAAUGGAGCAAGUUUUUAUUCCAAUUAUCCAGUGAAACAACAUUAAUAUAUCAAAUAUUAAUAUAAAUCUGAAGAAAAAUGCAAAGAUUUCUAGGUUUUUUUUUUUUUUUUUGCUUUUUUAUGAUUUAUAUGUAGUCUCUAAGGGGGAAAAAUGUCUUGCUAAGGUAGUAACAGAAAAAAAUGUUUUAAGAGAAGCUUAUGAUAAUUGGUUACUUGGAAAUAUGUCAAGAGCAAAAAUUGUUUUUAAAAAACUUAAAAAUUUUAAUAACUGGUACAUAGUUAUAUAGGGAAAAGUUUUAUAUAAUAAGAUGAUACCUUGGAUAAAUUAGACUGGUUUAAUCUUUUGGUUUAGAAAUAGCUAUAUUUUCUCUGAUUUUACCAGUAUAAUACUAUUUAGCAUAUUUUCUUGGGUUUAUUUUCUAAUAAAAAAAGCGAAUUAAUUUGAGUUUUCUAGAUUUCCUCUACUGAUUUUAAUGGUCAAAUAAGCCAAUUCAUAAUAGAUUAUAAAAUAUUAAAAUUAUGUGUCAAAAUAAAUUGAAUUAUAAUAGGUAAUUCUUUAUAAGAGGGAUUCUUACAGUGCUAUAAAUCAUAUAGACUAAUGUGUCAGCAUAAAUUAUAAUAUCCAAAUCCUUACUUUUAAAUACUUAAACUAAUAUUAAAUUGUGUUAAUCACUGAGUUAUAUUUGGGUCCCUGAAAAAUUUCUAGGUAAGAUAAAGACAAAACAUUGAUCACUAAACGUAUUAGUUUACCCUCUUCCUUAUUUUUACAAAAACUAUAGAAUGGCAAUCAGCAGAUUAAAGGAUGAACUUGCCCUUAAAUGAAAAUAUACAUGAAUAUUUUUGCCAACUUAAAAUUUGAUAAGACGAUAGUGUGGAUGAAAAAUUGUUGCUCACCAUCUGCCUCUACAGGGAUUAGGUCACUAGCCACUGCAGUCCUUCAGCACACCCCGAAAGGGGUUCAGGGCGGAGAUCAUGGAAAAACUGGCAGAACAGGCCUUCAGAUAGUUAGAUGUUUUCAGAAGAAGGUUUUAUGAGCCUAAUUUCUUACAUCUUCUCAUAUCCAGAAAAGCAUUAAAAUCAUUAACAGAGACAUCUGCUCCUCAUGAAUAGCAGUAAACUUCCAGCAAAAUGUGUGCUUGAUUGCACAUCUCCCCCUUCACUAAAAUCUUGUAUAUACUGACCUCCUUCUUUACCUCUUCAGAACAGUUCCUCAAAUAAAAACGCAGACUUAGAGAACGGACUUGAGGACACGGGGAGGGGGAAGGGUAAUCUGGGACGAAGUGAGAGAGUGGCAUGGACAUAUAUAUGCUACCAAAUGUAAAAUAGAUAGCUACUGGGAAGCAGCCACAUAGCAUAGGAAGAACAGCUCGGUGCUUUGUGACCACCUGGAGGGGUGGGUUAGGGAGAGUGGGAGGGAGAUGCAAGAGGGAGGAGAUACGGGCAUAAACGUAUACGUAGAGCUGAUUCACUUUGUUAUACAACAGAAACUAACACAACAUUGUAAAGCAAUUAUAUUCCAAUAAAGAUGUUAAAAAAAAAGAAAGAAAGAACAGUUCCUCAGAGCUGAGAGGCUGUCUCCCUGGCUAUAGUUCUCUUUUUUUUUUUUUUUUUUUUUUUUAUAGUUCUCAUUUUAUCCCAAGUAAAACUUAACUCACAACUCUCACGUUGUGCUUUUUUUAUUUCAGUUGACAGUAGAUAAUUAGUACUUAUGGACAAACAUAGCUGUAGACCUUGUUUCUUCUCAUUUUAAUUUUCUCUGUUAAUUGGGUACAAAAUUUGGUUGCUAUAGUUAAAGAUCUCAAAAGCCCUCUCUUGGAAGCCAGAUCCUAAAUAGACCUUCCUUUCUUAACAGGUGUUAUAGCAACAGCCCCCAGUCUCUGGGCGUUUCAAACUAUGCUAAGCCUCUUUUCACUAUUAAUUGAUAAAAGUCAAGCUUAUGUUUUAGGGUAGUAACUCCAGUUUAAAGCCCUAAACUUUUCUCAUUCCAAUUUGAUACUAAACUCUGAUGACAAUCUUAAUAUGAUUUUAUUUGGUAUUAGGAAUACUUAAGGUAAUUUCUAAAUAUUUUAUUUAAAAUAUUAUGUUAUUAACAAAUCAUCCCAUUCAGAUAACUGACCCAAACAUGCCACAUUACCAGAGGCUUAAGAAUUAACAUCUAUAGGGCUUCCCUGAUGGCGCAGUGGUUGAGAGUCCGCCUGCCGAUGCAGGGGACAGGGGUUCAUGCCCUAGUCCGGGAAGAUCCCACAUGCCGCGGAGCGGCUGGGCCCGUGAACCAUGGCCGCUGAGCCUGCGCGUCUGGAGCCUGUGCUCCGCAACGGGAGAGGCCACAACAGUGAGAGGCCCGCAUACCGCAAAAAAAAAAAAAAGAAUUAACAUCUAUAUACUUAAUAGUAGAUAUUAUGCCUUUAAAGUUGCUUAUGAAUUUGCCAUGCUACAAAAAUAAAGGAGUUUUCUAACUUCUUUGUGAAGCCCAAGAAAAUUAUUGGAGAUUAUCCAACAUCAAAAAAAAAUCUCAUUAUUAAGCUUAAAACCAAUGAAGAAAAUGCAUUUUCUAUUAUUAUGCAAACUAGUGACUCUUACUGGUUUUCAUCCAAAAGAGACUAAACAUUUAUAGUCAAUAGAAAGAUAGUUAUGUAAUCUAGUUUCUAGAAGGAAAAAAACCUUAUUGAUAAAAUCUUCCAUUAUUUGUAAUUUUUAUAAACCCCUAAUAAACUGAAGCUGUAGGGCAAGAACUGAAACCCCUACCUAGUGAAUCAUUUGAACAUUUACAAAUGAAUCUCAUUUUUUUGUUUCAAGCUUUGAUAUAUAUUUUUUAAUGAUUAUUUAUAAAUAAAUAUUUUGGUUGAAUUUAAGCAGUCUUUUGCCAAAAGACUAACAUGCUGAUAUAAAAACAAAGAUUUCAUUUUCCCACCUGGAAAUAUCAAUAACAGUGAAAGCUCACUUUACAGGUAAAAUAUUUUUUAAAUGUAUGCAAAGUAUUCACAUUUAACUGAAAAGUCCACAUCAUUUUCAAAGCUCUAAGAAGAAAAAGGCAAGCUAAUGACAUUUUAAAGUCAAUACUGCCCAGCUUCCAAAGAAGCUUACUCUCCCUCGAAUGAUAAUGGGAUCUUAUCUCAAAAUCUCUAUGGGGACUUCCCUGGUGGUGCACUGGUUAAGAAUCCGCCUGCCAAUACAGGAGACACAGGUUCAAUCCCUGGUCUGGGAAGAUCCUACAUGCCGCAGAGCAACUGAGCCCGUGCGCCACAACUCCUGAGCCUGUGUUCUAGAGCCUGCGAGCCACAACUACUGAGCCCACGUGCCACAACUACUGAAGCCUGCGCGCCUAGAGCCUAUGCUCUGCAACAAGAGAAGACACUGCAGUGAGAAGCCCGUGCACGGCAACAAAGAGUAGCCCCCACUCGCCACAACUAGAGAAAGCCCGCGUGCAGCAACAAAGACCCAAGGCAGCCAAAAAUAAAUAAAUAAAAAUUUUAAAAAAUCUCCAUGAACUCUCACUAUAUUGUUACUAAAAUUACCUUUAGGCUUGGCUUGAGUUCUCUACUGACAGGUUCUGCCUUGAUGCAUCCUGAUCUCAUUGAGUAUCAUUAUUUAGCUCAUUUAUGUGCUUAGUUAUAUACCCAGCAGCUGCCAGCCACACAUCCAAAAGGGAAACCAAUGAUACACCUCUACAGACUAACUAGUUUAGAAGCACUACCACAUGGAUGAACCUUGAGGACAUUAUGCUAAGUAAAAUAAGCCAGUCACAAAAGACAAAUAUUGAAUGACUCCACUUAGAAGAGGUACCUAGAAUAGUCAACUCACAGAAACGGUGGUUGCCAGGGGAUGAUGGGGCAGGGGGGUGGGGAGGGAGAUGGCGGAAUGAGGAGUUAGUGUUUAAUGGAUAUGGAGUUUCAGUUUGGGAAUAUGAAAGCUCUGGAGGGGGAUAGUGGUGAUGGUUGCACAAUGUGAGUAAUGCCCCUGAACUAUACACUUAAAAGUGGUUAAAAUGAUAAAAUUCGUUUUAUAUAUACUAUACCACAGGAAGGAAAAGGAGAAGGAGAGAGAAGAACUUAAGAUUCUACAACCUGGCCAUACAAACCUGCUAGAGGCCUGACCCUGAAACCCACUAAAAGGCUCCAGAAACAGACCACGACCAAAGCAGACAGCUUCCUGUGAAUUCUGUAAUUAAGAUUCUCUGACUCAAGAUGACAUUGGGUGCAGACAGUGUCCCGCCAAGGCCUUCAAAUCAAGACUCGUAAUCAGGAUAUAGGAUUUACAUUUGAGCUUAGGUUUAAUAAUCAUCUCACCUCCAUUUCCUUACUCCUUUCACGUUAAUCUUUUCUGUGGGCAACACUAUCAAUUUCCAACUGUUAAAUUUGUUGUCCAACCUUCCAAAGUAUUUAAAACAAAGCUUGAUAUCAAAACUUAUCAAAAAGGAUCUAAGACACUGGAUAUCACUGAUUUCUUUUUUUUCUUUUUUUAAAAAUAUUUAUUUAUUUGGCUGUGUUGGGUCUUCAUUGCUGCACGGGAGCUUUCUCUAGUUGUGACGAGCAGGGGCUACUCUUUGUUGUGGUGCACCGGCUUCUCAUCGCGGUGGCUUCUCUUGUUGCAGAGCAUAGGCUCUAGCUGCGCGGGCUUCAGUAGUUGUGGCUCGCGCGCUCUAGAGCGCAGGCUCAGGAGUUGUGGUGCACGGGCUCAGUUGCUCCGCAGCAUGUGGGAUCUUCCCGGACCAGCGCUCAAACCCAUGUCUCCUGCAUUGGCAGGAGGAUUCUUAAACAUUGCGCCACGCGGAAGUCCUGAUUUCGCUGAUUUCUAUGAGGAUUCUACUCUGGCGAGAAGUCUCAAAAACUACAAUGUAUGAUCCAUAAUUUAGUUUUGAUGAUAAACCAAAUAACAGUUAAAAUACUCCAUCAAGACAGGCACAUCAAAAACAGCUUAUUUAAAUUUAAUGAAGCUACUUUUCUUGCUAGGCUUUACGUUCCCAAUUUUCUGUUAAUAUCUGUGGCUGUCCUCAUCCCUUUGUGCCCUCCUCCACCAGGUGUGAAAAUAACCAGGUGUGAAAAUGUUGCUGUGUAGCCAUCCCAUUAUCCCAAGCUGACACUCAACUGAUAAGACUGUGUCAAGAAGAGCCUAACCCGUUAUGGACAAACCUGUUUCACUUGGAGCUCAUUUGACCAAAAGGGGGAAGCUGAGAAAUUCCUGUGAGGAAAGUGGUGCAGCCGAAGGGUGGGGCUAACCAAAGGACCCAGGCAGACAUUACACAGAGACAGCUAUUGUGUGUACUCCAUAACUAAACUCCCAAAUUCUUCUGGAGAAUCCAUAAACCAAUGAAGUUCUUAGAUACCCAUAGUUGGCCUUCUUAAGGACAGAAUAUCCAGACCGACCCCAUACUAGCUGCCAGCUAGCUACCCAGUGGGGAAAUGAAAGUAUAUUAUAAUAAGGCUUUUAUACUGAAUAUGAAGUUAUUUGACAAUAGCCUGUUUUAUGUUAAACAUGCAUGAGGAAAACUCUAGAGCAACCGUUAAAAAAAAAAUUGCAGAGCUAAUAAGUCAAUAGUAGAGAUAAAUGUAAUAAAAAAUAUUCAGUAAAUUCAAAAGGCAGAAAAAUAGAAAGCAUAUAGCAAGAUGGUAGAUGCAAACCCAAUCAAAUUCAUAAUUAUAUCUAAUGUCAUUUGUUUGAGAAUUCAAAAUAAAAGGCAGAUAUUGUCAGACUAGAUAAAAACGUAAGACCCAACUAUAUAUGCUGUCUAUAGGACACUCAUUUAAAAUAUAUCUUUGUAAACAAAUUAAUGAGAUCAUUUUAUACUUGUUAGGAAAAUUGGGGGAUAUUGGCCUUAAUGAACUGCUGAUGGAAGUGUAUUCUACCAGUACAGCCAUUCUGGAGAGCAAUCUGGCACUUGGCCAAAUUAAGUCUGUAAUACCCUGUGGUUCAGCUAUUCCACAUCUGAGUAUUUAUCCCAAAGAAAUCCCCAUCCAUGUCCAUAAGGUUUCAUGCACAAGGAUAUUCAUGGAAGCAUUGUUUGUUGUAGUUGGAUGUCAGAAGCAAUCUGGAUGCCCAUGGCAGGGGAGAGAAUGAGAAAAAUACGGUAAAUGCACAGAGUACUAAUGCAGCCAGAAGAAGCACCAGGCUAACUGUAAACACAGCAAUAUGGAUCUUUAAAACAUAGUGCUGAGAGAGAAAAAUAUAAAAGAAUAAGAAACAAGAUGAGAUCUGUAAUGAUACAAUUUACAUAAUUAGAGGCAUGUAUUCUAAGCAAUGUUAUCCGUGUUAGAGCAAUACAAACACAGAAUAUGCAUUUAAAAUAUUAGAAUGGGACUUCCCUGGUGGCGCAGUGGUUGAGGGUCCGCCUGCCGAUGCAGGGGACACGGGUUCGUGCCCCGGUCCGGGAAGAUCCCACAUGCCGCGGAGCGGCUGGACCCGUGAGCCAUGACCACUGAGCCUGCGCGUCCGGAGCCUGUGCUCCGCAACUGGAGAGGCCACAACAGUGAGAGGCCCGCGUACCGCAAAAAAAAAAAAAAAAAAAAAAAAAAUUAGAA
Orcinus orca (killer whale) is the source of this 14463-nucleotide RNA transcript. It is a transcript of the gene named aldo-keto reductase family 1 member D1, with no coding region annotated. The transcript is spliced from 10 exons. Lineage: Eukaryota; Metazoa; Chordata; Mammalia; Artiodactyla; Delphinidae. The record is from RefSeq and is a predicted model, not a curated record.